Molecule: ribosomal RNA, 494 nt
Filed under: uncultured bacterium
Lineage: Bacteria
Description: partial 16S ribosomal RNA
Rfam family: Bacterial small subunit ribosomal RNA
Source: RNAcentral
GACGAACGCUGGCGGCGUGCUUAACACAUGCAAGUCGAACGGAAAGGCCUGCUUUCCCUUGUGGAUUGCGGGUACUCGAGUGGCGAACGGGUGAGUAACACGUGAGUGAUCUGCCCCCAACUUGGGUAUAAGCCUGGGAAACUGGGUCUAAUUCCCGAUAGGACUGCAGGGUGGUGCCUGUGGUGGAAAACGAUUUUCUAGUGGUUGGGGAUGAGCUCGCGGCCUAUCAGCUUGUUGGUGGGGUAAUGGCCUACCAAGGCGGCGACGGGUAGCCGGCCUGGGAGGGUGGACGGCCACAUUGGGACUGGGAUACGGCCCAGACGCCUACGAGAGGCAGCAGUGGGGAAUAUUGCACAAUGGGCGGAAGCCUGAUGCAGCGACGCCGCGUGGGGGAUGACGGCCUUCGGGUUGUAAACUCCUUUCGACCGCGAGGAAGCCACCUGGUUGGAAGGGUGGUGACGGUAGUGGUAGAAGAAGCACCGGCUAACUACGUG